UACGGGGGGAGCAAGCGUUGUUCGGAUUUACUGGGCGUAAAGGGCGCGUAGGCGGUCAGCACAAGUCAGUUGUGAAAUCUCCGGGCUUAACUCGGAAAGGUCAGCUGAUACUGUGCGACUAGAGUGCAGAAGGGGCAACUGGAAUUCUCGGUGUAGCGGUGAAAUGCGUAGAUAUCAAGAGGAACACCUGAGGUGAAGACGGGUUGCUGGGCUGACACUGACGCUGAGGCGCGAAAGCCAGGGGAGCAAACGGG
Molecule: ribosomal RNA, 254 nt
Filed under: uncultured bacterium
Lineage: Bacteria
Description: partial 16S ribosomal RNA
Rfam family: Bacterial small subunit ribosomal RNA
Source: RNAcentral